CUUGUUUUCCGGAAAGUUAAAACCGAAAAGUGAGUACAGUUAAGAAUCUUUUCAAGAGGGAAUCCACUAAAGUUUUCUAUUACAGCCAACACUAAAUGACGAUUAGACGUUCAAACAAACACCUUAACGAUAAAACAACACAAUUUUCGAAUCCUUGAAAAAGGUCCAAUAAGGACCGAAACGUCGGGUUAAGAAAACAUAUAGUUGUUUUUAAUUGACCAAACUAGACUGAAAUGCCAAUAAACCCCUCAAAGAUAUCAUCCAACGUACAGUCGAUCACCCAAAGAAAU
Aedes albopictus (Asian tiger mosquito) is the source of this 290-nucleotide long non-coding RNA. RefSeq lists it as uncharacterized. The record is from RefSeq and is a predicted model, not a curated record. NCBI's taxonomy places the organism in Eukaryota, Metazoa, Arthropoda, Insecta, Diptera, Culicidae. The transcript is spliced from 2 exons.